Non-coding RNA from Hordeum vulgare subsp. vulgare (domesticated barley), 135 nucleotides. The record is from Rfam. Lineage: Eukaryota; Viridiplantae; Streptophyta; Magnoliopsida; Poales; Poaceae.
AAGGUACUCCCUCCGUCUUAAAAAUUUGUCUUAGCUUUGUCUAAAAAUAAAUAUAUCCAAAUAUUAAAACAUGACUAGAUAUAUUUAUAUAUAAAUAAAUCUGCGAUAAAAUUUUUGGGACGGAGGGAGUAUGUG